GAGGGUGUUGUUCAGUGGUAGAGUGCAUGCUUAGCAAGUACACGAUCCUGGAUUCAAUUCCCAGCACCAUUU
RNAcentral lists this transfer RNA (72 nucleotides) under Ictidomys tridecemlineatus (thirteen-lined ground squirrel). RNAcentral describes it as "Spermophilus tridecemlineatus (thirteen-lined ground squirrel) tRNA". It matches the Rfam family "tRNA". Rfam says of the family: Transfer RNA (tRNA) molecules are approximately 80 nucleotides in length. Lineage: Eukaryota; Metazoa; Chordata; Mammalia; Rodentia; Sciuridae. The record is from Rfam by way of RNAcentral.